Molecule: ribosomal RNA, 756 nt
Filed under: uncultured bacterium
Lineage: Bacteria
Description: bacterial SSU rRNA
Rfam family: Bacterial small subunit ribosomal RNA
Source: RNAcentral
CAUGCAAGUCGAACGGAGUCUGCAUGAAACCUAGUGAUUGUAGACUUAGUGGCGGACGGGUGAGUAACGCGUGGGUAACCUGCCUUGUACUGGGGGACAACAGUUGGAAACGACUGCUAAUACCGCAUAAGCGCACAGCUUCGCAUGAAGCAGUGUGAAAAACUGAGGUGGUACAAGAUGGACCCGCGUCUGAUUAGCUGGUUGGUGAGGUAACGGCUCACCAAGGCGACGAUCAGUAGCCGGCCUGAGAGGGUGAACGGCCACAUUGGGACUGAGACACGGCCCAAACUCCUACGGGAGGCAGCAGUGGGGAAUAUUGCACAAUGGGGGAAACCCUGAUGCAGCGACGCCGCGUGAGUGAAGAAGUAUUUCGGUAUGUAAAGCUCUAUCAGCAGGGAAGAAAGAAAUGACGGUACCUGACUAAGAAGCCCCGGCUAACUACGUGCCAGCAGCCGCGGUAAUACGUAGGGGGCAAGCGUUAUCCGGAUUUACUGGGUGUAAAGGGAGCGUAGACGGCAUGGCAAGUCUGAAGUGAAAUGCCAGGGCUUAACCCUGGAACUGCUUUGGAAACUGUCUAGCUAGAGUGCAGGAGAGGUAAGUGGAAUUCCUAGUGUAGCGGUGAAAUGCGUAGAUAUUAGGAGGAACACCAGUGGCGAAGGCGGCUUACUGGACUGUAACUGACGUUGAGGCUCGAAGGCGUGGGGAGCAAACAGGAUUAGAUACCCUGGUAGUCCACGCGGUAAACGAUGAAUACUA